Non-coding RNA from Castor canadensis (American beaver), 72 nucleotides. The record is from the annotation of a RefSeq genome assembly. Lineage: Eukaryota; Metazoa; Chordata; Mammalia; Rodentia; Castoridae.
GGGAGUGUGGCUUAGAGGUAAAGUACUUGCCUAACAUGCAAGAGGUCUUGGGUUCAAUCCCCAGCACUGCAA